GAAUAUGGGGGGACCAUCCUCCAAGGCUAAAUACUCCUGACUGACCGAUAGUGAACCAGUACCGUGAGGGAAAGGCGAAAAGAACCCCGGCGAGGGGAGUGAAAAAGAACCUGAAACCGUGUACGUACAAGCAGUGGGAGCACCCUUCGGGGUGUGACUGCGUACCUUUUGUAUAAUGGGUCAGCGACUUAUAUUCUGUAGCAAGGUUAACCGAAUAGGGGAGCCGGAGGGAAACCGAGUCUUAACCGGGCGUUAAGUUGCAGGGUAUAGACCCGAAACCCGGUGAUCUAGCCAUGGGCAGGUUGAAGGUUGGGUAACACUAACUGGAGGACCGAACCGACUAAUGUUGAAAAAUUAGCGGAUGACCUGUGGCUGGGGGUGAAAGGCCAAUCAAACCGGGAGAUAGCUGGUUCUCCCCGAAAGCUAUUUAGGUAGCGCCUCGUGAAUUCAUCUCCGGGGGUAGAGCACUGUUUCGGCUAGGGGGCCAUCCCGGCUUACCAACCCGAUGCAAACUGCGAAUACCGGAGAAUGUUAUCACGGGAGACACACGGCGGGUGCUAACGUCCGUCGUGAAGAGGGAAACAACCCAGACCGCCAGCUAAGGUCCCAAAGUCAUGGUUAAGUGGGAAACGAUGUGGGAAGGCCCAGACAGCCAGGAUGUUGGCUUAGAAGCAGCCAUCAUUUAAAGAAAGCGUAAUAGCUCACUGGUCGAGUCGGCCUGCGCGGAAGAUGUAACGGGGCUAAACCAU
This 749-nucleotide ribosomal RNA is filed under the name Salmonella enterica. RNAcentral describes it as "partial 23S ribosomal RNA". It matches the Rfam family "Bacterial large subunit ribosomal RNA", at positions 440 to 1190 of the family's 2925-position model. The record is from RNAcentral. Lineage: Bacteria; Pseudomonadati; Pseudomonadota; Gammaproteobacteria; Enterobacterales; Enterobacteriaceae.